RNAcentral lists this transfer RNA (82 nucleotides) under Thalassiosira oceanica. It matches the Rfam family "tRNA". From Rfam's summary of the family: Transfer RNA (tRNA) molecules are approximately 80 nucleotides in length. Their secondary structure includes four short double-helical elements and three loops (D, anti-codon, and T loops). Lineage: Eukaryota; Bacillariophyta; Thalassiosirophyceae; Thalassiosirales; Thalassiosiraceae. The record is from Rfam by way of RNAcentral.
GCACGCGUGGCCGAGUGGUCUAAGGCGCUGUGUUCAGGUCGCAGUAUCUUCGGAUGCGAAGGUUCGAACCCUUCCGCGUGUA